GCAUUUUUGGAGAUUUGUUACUUUGAGUAAAUUAGAGUGUUCAAAGCAAACAGAUAUAGCAUUUGUGCGUUUGAAUACUACAGCAUGGAAUAACAAAAUUGAACAAGUCAAAAUUUUUGUUCUUUUAUCUCAUCUUGGCUCAUUCACGAUUAAAAACCUUAGCUUGCGGCCAUUAGUAUUUAGAUAUCAGAGGUUAACAUUUAUAUACGUGUCGUCUGCAUCCUGCUUCCCUGCCACUUUCACUUUCCCUGCGCUGUAUUCAAUAGCCGAGAACGAAAGUUAAGGGAGUGAAGACGAUCAGAUACCGUCGUAAUCUUAACCAUAAACUAUGCCGACUAGGCUUGGAGAAAGAUUAAAAAAAGUAUUG
Molecule: ribosomal RNA, 367 nt
Filed under: Plasmodium coatneyi
Lineage: Eukaryota; Apicomplexa; Aconoidasida; Haemosporida; Plasmodiidae
Description: bacterial SSU rRNA
Rfam family: Eukaryotic small subunit ribosomal RNA
Source: RNAcentral